Molecule: ribosomal RNA, 698 nt
Filed under: uncultured bacterium
Lineage: Bacteria
Description: bacterial SSU rRNA
Rfam family: Bacterial small subunit ribosomal RNA
Source: RNAcentral
GGAUACCCGAGGGAAACUUCGGUUAAUACGGUAUAAGACCACACUACCGCAUGGUAGAGGGGUAAAAGGGGCAACCUGGUAUGAGAUGGACUCGCGUCGCAUUAGCUAGUUGGUGAGGUAACGGCCCACCAAGGCGACGAUGCGUAGCCGACCUGAGAGGGUGAUCGGCCACAUUGGGACUGAGAUACGGCCCAGACUCCUACGGGAGGCAGCAGUGGGGUAUAUUGGGCAAUGGAGGAAACUCUGACCCAGCAAUGCCGCGUGAAUGAAGAAGGUCUUCGGAUUGUAAAGUUCUUUAGUCAGGGAAGAAGUCAAUGACGGUACCUGAAGAAUAAGCUCCGGCUAACUACGUGCCAGCAGCCGCGGUAAUACGUAGGGAGCAAGCGUUGUUCGGAAUGACUGGGCGUAAAGGGUGCGUAGGCGGUUGUACAAGUUAGAAGUGAAAACCCAGGGCUUAACUCGGGUGCUGCUUCUAAAACUGUAUGACUUGAGUGCAGUAGAGGUUAGUGGAAUUCCUAGUGUAGCGGUGGAAUGCGUAGAUAUUAGGAGGAACACCAGAGGCGAAGGCGGCUAACUGGACUGCAACUGACGCUGAGGCACGAAAGUGUGGGGAGCAAACAGGAUUAGAUACCCUGGUAGUCCACACUGUAAACGAUGGAUACUAGAUGUAGGAGGUAUCGACUCCUUCUGCGUCGCAG